RNAcentral lists this small RNA (29 nucleotides) under Bombyx mori (domestic silkworm). RNAcentral's name for it is "ovarian small RNA-9093". The record is from RNAcentral. Lineage: Eukaryota; Metazoa; Arthropoda; Insecta; Lepidoptera; Bombycidae.
UGUGAGCUCGUCCAACCACCUAAGCAAUA